This 503-nucleotide ribosomal RNA is filed under the name uncultured bacterium. RNAcentral describes it as "bacterial SSU rRNA". It matches the Rfam family "Bacterial small subunit ribosomal RNA", at positions 29 to 523 of the family's 1533-position model. The record is from RNAcentral.
AAUGAACGCUGGCGGCGCGCCUAAUACAUGCAAGUCGAGCGAGAAGACGUAGCAAUACGUUUGUAAAGCGGCGAACGGGUGAGGAAUACAUGGGUAACCUACCCUCGAGUGGGGAAUAACUAGCCGAAAGGUUAGCUAAUACCGCGUACGCUUCUUGGACUUCGGUUCAGGGAGGAAAGCGAUACCGUGGGUAUCGCGCUCUUGGAUGGGCUCAUGUCCUAUCAGCUUGUUGGUGAGGUAAUGGCUCACCAAGGCUUCGACGGGUAGCUGGUCUGAGAGGACGAUCAGCCACACUGGCACUGCGACACGGGCCAGACUCCUACGGGAGGCAGCAGUAAGGAAUAUUGCGCAAUGGGCGAAAGCCUGACGCAGCGACGCCGCGUGGGGGAUGAAGGUCUUCGGAUUGUAGACCCCUUUCGGGAGGGAAGAUGGAAUGGGGUAACCCAUUCGGACGGUACCUCCAGAAGCAGCCACGGCUAACUUCGUGCCAGCAGCCGCAGUAA